Caretta caretta (loggerhead turtle) is the source of this 720-nucleotide long non-coding RNA. RefSeq lists it as uncharacterized. The record is from RefSeq and is a predicted model, not a curated record. Lineage: Eukaryota; Metazoa; Chordata; Testudines; Cheloniidae.
AGCGCCAGCGUGACCCAGCCGCCACAGCAGCUGGAUUGAUUUUGGACUCACGCUGGGCCCCAGAACGCCUCUCCGACACAGUCAACAGCUCUUUUCUUUCCCUGUCAUUUCCACCUUCUGCCCAAGUGCCAAAGUCCUCGGCUGUUUGCUCGGGCCUCAUAAGUGGCAAGCAGCCAUCUGCUCCCUCCCUCUGAGGCUUGCCUUGCUACACCUAAUCCCCUGCACUGGAGAUCAGGCUACAUGGGAAAGCAGUGUGGCCUAAUGGAUAGUGCCCUUGGCUGGCCCCUCAGAAGACCUGGGUUCUAGUCCUGGCUUUGCUGCUAAGUAACCUUGGGGACAGUAAUGAGGGAUUACCUAGGAGGACAGCAUAGGACACUUCCAUGGGAAGAAAGCCAGGGGAUUACACUGCUGGCAAAUGAACCCCAUGCUUAUGUGCUGGGAGAAAAGGAGAGAGGCUGCAGAGGAGUGGGGAUUUUUUCUAAGGCAUCAGAAGAUCGGAUUUACGCAGAAGAUUGGAUGUUCUAUCGAUGGACUAAUGGACCAACACCACUGAUGAGUGGGACAAAAAUCCUUUAAACGGCGAGGCUGCAAAGAACAGGAGUCCCAGUGAGCUGGUUCCAUUGUGCUUCACGCUGAUGCUCAAAAACCUGCUUUUUCAGUCUCCUGACAAGUGAAAUACCCUGCAGCUCUCCAGAGGCCUGAUCAGUGAAAACUGUUUGG